UUUGUCUUAUAGUAAUAUUUUGAAAUUAAUUUUUUAGUUAAAAAGCUAAAAUUAACUUUAAAGACAAGAAGACCCUAUUAAGCUUUACAAUUUUAUAUUAUUUUCAAACUAAUAAAACAAUUGUUCUGCUGGGGCAGCAAAUAAAUAAAUAUUAUUUAUAUAUUGUGAUAAAUAAAUCUAGAAAAAUCAAUAAUUUAUUAAAUAAUAUCAAGUUACUAUAGGGAUAACAGCAUAAUUUUUUUAAAGAGUUCUCAUCAACAAAAAAGUUUGUGACCUCGAUGUUGGAUU
RNAcentral lists this ribosomal RNA (288 nucleotides) under Paruroctonus boreus. RNAcentral describes it as "partial 16S ribosomal RNA". Lineage: Eukaryota; Metazoa; Arthropoda; Arachnida; Scorpiones; Vaejovidae. The record is from RNAcentral.